Molecule: ribosomal RNA, 3574 nt
Filed under: Triticum aestivum (bread wheat)
Lineage: Eukaryota; Viridiplantae; Streptophyta; Magnoliopsida; Poales; Poaceae
Description: partial small subunit ribosomal RNA
Source: RNAcentral
UGUGUAAAAAGACCACCUUCGGCUUGUCCUAGUGGUGAGCGUGGAAGUGUGUGAGUGUGCAUAGAGAAAAAAAAAAUUCGAGUGAGUGUGCAUCGAGAACUUAUAAGACUUUGUUUUUGCAUCGAGAGCGACGUGAGGGAAAAGUACAAGAAGGCAGGGGAGCGAGGUGGUUUUUAGGUUUUAACGAAGGUGAGCUCGAGUUCUAAGGGUUGUUGUGGAGUUAAGGGGAGAACUAAGGAACGGCACUGGAACGAGCAGGAGUGGACGUGCGUGGCGACGUCGAGCCGAGUGACCACGCCGGUGCCCCACUCGGAUCAAACCGAGUGACAUGCGGAGGAGCUAGAGAGUCCGGCCAGUUGUCGCUGCCUCCCCAUCAUCCCGAACUACUCUUCGACGCGGUACCUCCUACGCUCGAACGGCUAGAACUGACACAGCAGGAGCAAUCGCAGGAACCUCCCCUACACCCGCACCUAGAGCAGAGGGCCUCGGUCGAACCUAGGUGUAGCUAACACUCCUACGACCGCCGCAACAAAAGGGAGCGUAGCACCAACAGGGGCCGUUCCGUCGGGCCAUCCAGCAGAAGUAGGAGCUGUCACCGUCGGACUUAAGUCGCUGAGCAAGAAGGUGGAUCUCCAGGGGUGAAGAGGGAAAAGGAUAGAAAAAGAACAAAGAAUAGGACAGAGACGUACACAUACCGAUUUGGUUAUAUUACACGUAAUUCGAUGUCGAACCAUCACUUUUCUACAUUUAAAUAAGUACGGGGGAGGUGGAAAAAGACACGAACCCUGAACGCAGCCGUCUCCGGGGAGACGGGAGCAAGUCUAAGUUGUUUAAAUUAUUCAUUAAUCAAAUAAACACUAAUCGAUAUCGAAAUUCUAAAGGGUUUCUAACUUAAUUAAAAUUAUUCACUAUACUUUUAUCCACGAUAAUGUAAAACGUAUAAUUGACAUUGCUAGACACCUAUGACAGUGAUAACAUAACGUCUUAUACUAUUCGAAUUUAUAGACUAUUAUAUAUCACAGCUGUUUAAUAUUAUAACUCAAUAAAGGUAACUUACAACUACGUACAAAGUUUAUGAAGACCCUCAUCAUCUAAUAUAGACAGGACGGUAUAGUACAAUAAUCGUAUCUUUUCAGUCAAAACGAGGUACAUGAAUACCAAUAGAUAUUUCCGAUCAUCGUAGACAUUCACACACAAAUCAAGGAUGGAAUUCUUAUAAAAACACAUCUGAUACAAGAACUGGUGUAGUAGGAACAACAAUCAAGUAAACGAUAUAUUUUCUUUUAUUGUCCACACUAGUUCAGUUAUCCUAUAAUGAACGUUCACAAAAAAGAUCCAUAAGGGAAAGAGAAUACAAAGAGUACUUGAGGAACUCGAAAUACACCUUGUGAGCCAGUUGUUAUAGUCUGGAAAGAGGAGCGUUUUUUUUUUUUUUUCCUUUUGGUUGUUAUAUUCUAGAAAGACGACGACGAACCGGAUGAAGGACAUCGUAUCUAUCUAACUUAGAGGCCGGUUCAACGCAACGUACACUCACAGUGUUUAUCCAGACACAUAGGUUCGCUGACUGUAUAAAUGUAUCGAAGAACCAUCAAAACACGAAACAUAGAACCCGAUAGACAGUUCGACCUACCGUGUACCGUCAACAUAAGAGGAAGUAUGGACCAGUUGGUAACAUAAAGAUAACGCAGAACGUUCAGUCGUAUGUUAAGCAAGAAUCCAAAUGAACUACAGAAAGCUAGGUCAGAUAAACAUUUCGUUUUAUAUACGUUCCCGUUACUUGACGUUAAAUCCGAAAAGUAUGUGGUCGUUCACAAAGCUGUCCAAUCAUACAACAACAUAUACUAAGAGUAUCAUAAGGUUGUAACAAUAUAGGAAAGAGAAGGUGAAACGUGGAAGAAAAUUUCACAUUACACAUAAAAGAGAGAUGGGUAGAAGAGGCAUCCCCUUAUUAUUAUAUAUGACGUAUCGGUACUUAAAACUUACCAAGAGACUAUAAGAAACCAGAGUACAGACACAUGACUUGUUACUAUAGAGUAGGAAAAGAUAAGACACAACAUAGUAAGUGUUAGUUCCGACGUUGAAGUCAACGUCUACCGUACAGUACAGCAGAAUUAGAGUGCAACACUAUCUGUGGAAAAGUUCAAAUAGGAAACGGUAAUACUCACAAAAUCGAUCGUGUACUAUACCAAGGGACACCGUUAAGUUGUUACGACUAAAACAGCGACAGAACCAAUUCGGUAUGAUGUACCUUUAAACAAGAGUACAACAAAACUGUUUCUUUAUUAACUAUCGAUGCCAGUCCUGCUUUACAUCGUACAGAAAUAAAUAAAUUAUGUGGUGAAAUUUAAUCAACGUCUAGUAUACCUUGACGUAUCCGCCUGCCCGAACUAUUGGUAAACACCUACCAUUUGAGACAUUCUAGUCUAUAAACAUGUAGUUUAUGUGACCCAAUAACUUCUUUGAAAACAUUCGGACCUUUCUUACCUUCUGUAUCUAUUGUGUUAACAACGAGUUUCGUCUUCGUUAGAUAUCAUAACAAAGGUCAUGUGGAAUGAUGUCAGUACGUAGUACAUUCUCUUCAAAUCGUCAACUUAAGUUUCUUCAUUCAUUUCUAUCACCUACUAUUAUGUGAAUUUCUUUAUUCAAACAUGUUAAAAGAAGCGAGUGCACCAAGUCUCUAAGAAUAAAACCGUAUCAACACGUCAGACCGUGUAGAGGUAGAUACUAGCUUACAAAAGAGUAAAAGAACAGAACUUCAAAGUAAGAGGAGAGGAUUGAACAGUAACAAAUAACUGACCUGAGUGUAGUCAUUCUUUAAUAAACUUUAUAAAAGGACCAGGUUCGAAUUUGGUGGUUGGGUGCACACGGAUGAACUUAGUCUUUAGGUUCGAUUUAGAAAAAGAAUAUUAUGGUGGAUAAUUUCUAAGUACCAAUCAUUACCUAGUUGAACAACAUAACGUAUAAACCAUGAAAAUUGGUGGAACCUUCAAAAGAUUGUAAAAACGAUACACCGGGUGGAAAAUAAAGGAAACCAAGAAGGACGUGUUACCUCUUCUACUCUAUAACAUUUUAGCGACACAUCAUGACGAGUUCCAAUGCUUCUAAAUACUAAAACUAUAAAAAAGACGAAUGUUUUAAAGCAGAAGCAUCCUCUAGUUGAAGGUUCUGGUCACCUACAAUUCAAGGUUAGAAGUAAACUUUUGUGUUUAUAAUACCAUGAACGGCCUCCACCAGACGAACGAGCUACCUCGGCUACCGUGUUAGUUCCUCUAAACCUGUGAGCGAACACUCUCAAUGAAAAAAAUCCCUUUAGGUAAUACUGCCACAUAUAACUAGACGUUAUUAUCGAUGUAGUCGGUUUUCCUGCCGUUCAAUUUUUCGACCUCCAACGAACAGUACCUAUACUCAGGUUGGAUAACACUCAAAACAAAAACCCUGGCACUCUAACUAACAUUCUAACCACAUUUCUUGUACUGUACCUACCAUUUUAACUAGCACUCUAAUCACAGAAGUACCCUAUACCCCUUUUUUGUUUCCCGUACAUACCGAACCUACAAGUUCUCUUCAUUAGUUG